RNAcentral lists this ribosomal RNA (434 nucleotides) under uncultured bacterium. RNAcentral's name for it is "partial 16S ribosomal RNA". It matches the Rfam family "Bacterial small subunit ribosomal RNA", at positions 29 to 506 of the family's 1533-position model. The record is from RNAcentral.
AGCGAACGCUGGCGGCAGGCUUAACACAUGCAAGUCGAGCGGGCACUUUCGGGUGUCAGCGGCGGACGGGUGAGUAACGCGUGGGAACGUGCCCUCUGGUUCGGAAUAACUCAGGGAAACUUGAGCUAAUACCGGAUACGCCCUUUUGGGGAAAGGCUUGCUGCCGGAGGAUCGGCCCGCGUCUGAUUAGCUAGUUGGUGAGGUAACGGCUCACCAAGGCGACGAUCAGUAGCUGGUCUGAGAGGAUGAUCAGCCACACUGGGACUGAGACACGGCCCAGACUCCUACGGGGGGCAGCAGGGGGGAAUUUUGGAAAAGGGGGGAAAGCCUAACCCAGCCAUGCCGGGUGAGUGAUGAAGGCCUUAGGGUUGAAAAGCUUUUUUAUCCGGGACGAUAAUGGCGGGACCGGGGGAAUAAGCCCCGGCUAACUUCGU